This 3226-nucleotide long non-coding RNA is filed under the name Homo sapiens (human). RNAcentral's name for it is "non-protein coding lnc-C2CD4B-11:4". The record is from RNAcentral. Lineage: Eukaryota; Metazoa; Chordata; Mammalia; Primates; Hominidae.
GCGGCGCCGGUCCGGCCGCGGCGCCGCGCGGCACCGGGGUGGGCCGCCACCGAGGCUCAGGCGCCCGUCCUGGGUUUCCUCCCACGCGUGGUGAUGCUGAAAGGGUCCGCGAGGGAAGGUGAUGCACCGGCCGAGCUGUCACGGGGAAGGGAGGCUCGGGGUGACCCCGGCUUCCCAGAAUUGGGGCUCUGCUGUGUAAAGGGGAUGACUGCAGGACACAGCGUCUUGUAGGCUGGGGCCCCUAGGUCCGCAGAGUGCCCUCUCGGGACCUCUGGCCCGGUCCUGGGGGAAGCGAGCUGUGGCUAACUGGAGGGCCGUGGUGGGCGGUGGGGUCUUGCUGCGAAGCGGAGGGCCGUGACCCCAGGCGAGCCUGCUCCUUUCAGCACAAGGACCCUGAAACCUUGCUGGUCAGGUGUCACUUAGGUAUUUAGAGAACGACUAUAGGGAUGAGUGGCGGUAGGGGCGUGCUGUGUUGAUAAGAAGAAAAUAAUUCACUCCUGCUUGCCAUGCCCUGAAUAAAGUCAGUUAUAUACCUCUUACAUUUACAGUCAUUAUUAGUAAAUACUGUAAAUACCAUGGAACAAUGUGAAGGUUAUUCAAGGGGGUGAGGAGACAAAACACUAUGUACCGUAUGGUCCCGUUUUUAAAAACUGUGAUUUAUGGAGAAAGGCAGAAAAGACUGGAUAGAUAAACACCAAUAAGUCUCUCAGUGAUUGGUGGAAUUGUGAGUAAUUUUACUUUUUUAUUUAUCUGUAAGGGACACAUUAGUAAUUUAAAAAAACAAGAAUUAGCCAUGACCCCUUUACUCCUAGUACUUUGGGAGGCCAAAGCAGGAAGAUCUCAAGCCCAAGGAGUUUAAGAUCGGCCUGGGCAAUAUAGCGAGACCUUAUCUCUACAAAAAAAAUUAAAAAUCAGCCGGGUGUGGGGGCGCAUGCCUGUAGUCCCAGUUACUGGGGAGAAUGGUGGGAGGAUCGCUUGAGCCCGGGAGCUCGGGGGCUGCAUGAGCGGUGAUCCUACCACUGCACUCCAGCCUGGAUGACAGAGCGGGACUCUGUCUCAAAAAAGAAAAAAAAAAGGAAAGACGACAUUAUUUCCAUCCCAAUACAGAAUGGACCAGGAAAUAGGUAGCAAAUCUAUUCAGUUACUCAAAUGGAACUGCUGGCAACUUUUUAGUGUUUCUCAGAGAAAGAAACUGCUGUCACCAUAAACCGGAGACUGAAUUGAUUUUGUAAAUUGAAAUUAUUUUGAAUAAGUCCGUUGGAACAUUGGAUAAGGCUGGACAUUCUGUGAGAACAAUACCCUGUCCUUAACCAGGCUGAUGAACCGGACUGUAUGUAUCAUAGCAGCAAAGAUAACCUUAGGGUACAACUUUGUAACUUAUUGCAGAAUAUAAACUGUAAAGCUAACAAAGUAUACAUUAUCAAUGCACAGUGAGAGAACCAAUUACUUGGCAACUUGAGAAAGUCCUAAAAAUUGCAGGGCACAAUUUCUCAUUGUACAGGUAAAGUAUUUUUGUUCACCACGCCUUUUUAAACAUUCACCAGUCUCACAGAAUAACUAGUGGUGGCAACAAGCCACCUCAGGGGUUGAUUAAAAAGUACAUGUUUAUUGAUUUCUGUAUGAGCCUGGUAAUAAGCUCACUAAAUUAAUGCCACCUAAAUUGUUCCUUGGUUUACUAACAAAGAAUAACCAUAUUUUUAUGGUCCAAAUGCCAGGUUUACAUAAGAGGCUCAUCAAGAAGGAAAGGAAAAAAUGGUUGCAACUUAAGUGAUUUUCCCCUUCCACUUAGUCCUCCGUUCAUAGGGCCCAAUAGCUUCCUAUCAAGCAUCUCAAAAUCUUUCUGACACCUGGAUUUCAAGAUUUUCCAUUACUUAAUGCAUCCUCUUGAAAGUAUCCCCACACUUUUCCACUACCCAUCAGCGGGAUGCCAUUCAGUAAUGGAAGCUACAUUCCAUGAGAGCAAGAACCUCAUCUGUAUCUCUGUGCCUGAAGGAGCCUGACACAUAGUAUUUAAUAAGUACUCAAUAAAAAUCUGCUUUAUGAAAAUAGCCUUAUUUGUUCACUACCUAUCUUACUAGUUCCUGAGAUAUUUGAAAAGUUAUCUAUUCUAUUAGAGUGUCAGCAAAAUUCUGGGAUGCUGAGAUCCUGUAGAGUUAUAGCCUUGGUUUGGUUCAGUUACUUUUCAAAGUUCCAGCUAAAUCCUAAGGCAUUCACAAGGGUGAGGUGCAGGUGUCUGAAUAUUUGGGCAUUAAUAAGCCAGAUAGCACUAUUCUGUGGCUUUCCAAGGUCAAUUAAAUUCUUUCCCCCAGUGAGAAAGAACAUCAGCCUUAGAACUCAGCUUUAGUUCUAGCUUCAAACCAAUUGGCUUUGGACACUUCUUAAUUUUACAGCUCCUGGUUUUUCUAACCACUCUUAGGGCUCUAAAAACCAUUUACUGUUUUUUUAGAGAAAUCAACUAACCAUUCUACGUCCUAGCAUUAUAUUUUUCAAAAAUUUCCCCAGUAGAAGUAAAAGCAAUUUUACCAGUAACCUUUACUAACUUUUCUGAAAUUGAGAUGCCUCCCUAGACCUAAAAAAAGUUAUUUCUAAAUUUAGAGUCAGCUACUAGUAGUCGCUGUCUUUAUUCAGAGUGAUCAUAGUUCAUUGUAGACCAGCAAAAAAAAACUAAAAAAACAAAAUCUAACUUUUUUUAACAAGAUUACAUUUUGGGGCUUCGUCUCUACCCAGCAGAGGAAAACAGGGUGGGAGAUAAAACAUUCCAUCUAAGCAAUUUCUCAAGCCUUACAGCCUCUUACUUCUGCCCAGCAGAUCUUAAGUAGCAAAAUAAAUACACUUUGUAUGAAUAAAGAGUGGAACAUUUGGGGAGGUAAGUCAAAGAGAUAGCUUCCAAGUCACUUGUAAUAAAUAUAUCUGGAACGAAAAACCAUUUUCUUCACAAGUCAGAUUUGUAAUUACCAAAUUAGACAUUGCUUGGUGCUAAAGAGCUGGAUGCUGAGAGAUUGCCCCUCUCCUCCCAUUGCACUGAGCCUUAACCUCCUGAAUUCCUGUUGAGCACUUGUAGGUAUCUGGGGUGGCUUUGCUCAGCUUUCAUAGCUGAGCAAACUCAACUGUGUCCAUGUUGAAAAAAUAAAAGAAAUUCCACCAAAUAUUUUGUUAUACUUUAUUUAUAAGAGAAUAUUUUGUGCCAUAAUAAAAUAUUUUAAAGGGCUCCCUUGAUACAAUACAC